CGGAGGGCUCUGAUUGGGCAAGCGGCCGGACGCCGAGGCGAGAUUACGCGAGAGGCCGGGCCGCCGCCGUGGCCGCCUGCGCCGAGAAGCAUCAGUGAAGGGGAGCAUGGGGGAGAGUUGGAAAUUCUUUAAACAGCUAUUGGUGCCAAAACGAAAAAAGCUGUGUGGAGCUGUGCCCUUGAUGCUAUUGGUAAUAUGGGACAUCCAAUGUUGUUUUUCCCAGUAAGGCACAACGUCAAGCUCUUCAGUGGCUGAUUUGGAAUAUACGAUGGUCCCAAGCUGUUGUAAGGCCUGCUGCUUGGAGUGGAGAUUUCUAUCAUUGCUUUGACUAUUUCAAGAUUGUUUUCACCCUCUGUCAGUCACAAGCUGAUAAGUACUGUAGCCUAGUUAGUUAUGCUACUUAUUUUUCUCUCUCCAAAGACUAUGUGGCUAUUUCAUGUCAGACUGGAACCUGCUUUUACUGAAGGGUGGAGAACCUCUGGGUAGGGUGGAUCCCUGGCUUUCUGGGGCUGUGCCGGUGCCCCCUUCCAUGAUCUGGGGCACGUCUGGCAGCCUGACCACAGCCACGGGGUGGGAUGUGUGCCUCUUGGUGACUGGGAGUGCCUGUGGUUUGGUCCCUUGGUGGAUCUGCUUCUGGUCAUGUCAUGUGAUUAAUUGGAAUGAAAAACUGGAUGGAUUGUUCUGGUUGGUUAUUAGAGAUUUCUCAUUCCUGUUUUGGUUUUAGUCAUCUACUCAAUGACAUAUAACGAGAACCUAUUUAUUGCAACUCUUGAGGAGAAUUCCAUUACACUAGUUAAUUUGGAGAGGUAGAGAAAAAAAUCCGUUGUCUUCUAAUGUUAACCAAAACCCAAAUUCUAAAAUAAAGACGAGUUAUCAGUGUAACUGCAACUAUUUAUAUUGCAGUAGUAGAAACUCCAGGUCCCUUUUCUGUUAGGUACUGAACAGCUCAGACACAGAACAAGAGAGCUCUUUGUCUGUGAAAGUUUGUAAGUCUGAAGUGAUCCUAUAUUAUCUCUCAUCUUCUGCCUGUACUUUCUUGGGUAUGUACCUAUCUGGCUUUCUGGCUGCAGAUUUCAGAGUGAUGUAUUAAUUUUCAGACUGAUUUUCUAAUUUUAAAAUUAUAAAAAAUAUUUUUUUCUGUAUAUUGUAAGUGAAAGGAAAAGUAAAAUAUAUUGUGAACUUGGAAAGGGUUGGAAAGGAUGAGGAGAAAUAAAUAUUUUCAUAAUAGAAAAUUUUAUUUACUGAAUUUUAAUAAGAUUGCUACCCUAGAACAAAAAUAAUAAAUCUUAGUCUGAUCAAAGAGGGUUUGAUAAAGGGUUUUAUAAAAAUGUUUUAUAAAGGUAAACAUGCUUAAUCAGAUUCACUUUUUAAAUUCAGCAACUCUUAAACAGAAAUUUAUCAGCCAAAUAACUUCAUUUGGAAACAGGAAUAUUUAGGCCUUGGUGCAGGAAAGUAUUUAAUCAUAUGUUUAGGUCUAUGCCUACUUCCUUUUGAGUAUUUGUUUACAUUUCUGUAAGAUUUUGUAAAAUACAUUUUUCUAAACGAGCAAGCUAGUGACUCAGGACUUUAGAGAUCGGAGAAGGGAAGCUUGCCUGAAAAUUUCAGGUCUACACUGACUGAAAAAGAAAAUAGACAGUUUUUAUUCUGUAGAGGAAGAUUAGUUACAUGCACAUUUACCAAAACCUGGUAAAGAUUCAGGGUGCUUUAGAAACAAAGAAGGAGAUGUGGUCGGAGAAACAGGUGUGAUCUUGCCUCCAAAAUGCUUAUAGUUAGAACUGAGGCAAGACCCAUAGUAUGUUCAGAAGGAAAGAACAGAGUAAAUUGAGGAAGAAAGCAUAGUUUAAAAAAAAAAACCAACAGGUUUCACUGUUUUGAAGGUGUAGAAAAAUAUGAAUACUAGUACAGGACAUGAGGAUAAUUUCAGACUUGAAGCAACAUGGAAAAGUCGCAAAGGGAAGACAGAAGAGGAAUGAUAUCUUGCUUAAGAAGGAGAUAAGACAUCUAAGUUGGUACAAGCUAUUUUGGUACUCUCAACGGAAGAGAGGAUGGCUUGGAAAUGAGAUAAUAACGAACAGCAAGAAAAACAAGAAGUAAAAGGUAGGGUACUGUGGUUGCAGCAAGAAGUGUAUCGCUUACAGCAUUUUCUUGGCUUCUCGUUUCCACUAAUGGAAAUAUUAAAAGAAGUAGAAAAAAAAGACUUGUGGUAAAGGAUAUACUGUGUAUGUAUAUCGCACAAAUUUCAUGCAGAAUAAGAAGUACCAUAAAUGUUUCAUUAAAGGAAUAUGUAGUACUUUAUUCCUGAUGCAGUUUUCAUUUGAUUUCUUGUCUAAAUCAAUAUUUUAUUACAUAUUUUUUCAAGUCAUCUGCAGUUUAUAUAAUGCAACUGUCAUUGUAAAGCAGAUGAGCAGCAUCUGAAUGUUAGGCAAAGGCUAAGUAUCUACCAGAUAUUUACAAGAUUGUCAUAGUAAUUUUUAAAAAUGCCUGUCUUUUAAAAUUACAUCUACUUCUGCCCUGUCACAAUUAUAUGCAUGUGUUUACCACUCAGUUAUUGCAGGGGAAAAAAGUGGGAGUCAACAUGGGGGUUUUAUUCUUGUGGUGUUUAGGUUUUUUGGUUUAUUUGUUAUUUUUCUUCUAUAACCUUGGACUAAUGGGGGGAAGUCAGGAAUGAUGUUUCCCAGAAAUUUGUACCAGGCCUCUGUGCUUCAAUGUUAUCAUAAAUGAUCCCAAAGGGGGUACAAAAUGAUGUGAGAAAGUUUGUUGAUGACAGGUAAUUACUUAGAGUAAUAAAAUUGAAAAUUGACCUUUUACUUUGGAUCUGCAGAGUACUUAGUAGCUGGGUGAUAAAGCAGCAAAUGUCUUAGUAAUGUAAACUUAUUUGCCUUGAAGAAGACAGUUGAUUUUGUUUUUUUUUUUCUUUUUUUUUCAUCCCAAAUGGCAAACUCUGGACUAGCUCUUUUGUUGCUCAGAUUGUGGAUGUGUAAUAAGAAAGUUCUGUGAAAACAUCAGUGCAAUGCUCAGUGGUGGUCAAAAUAGCAAGUAUUAGGAAUAAUGGAAUUGCUAGGAAAAUGAUAGCAUAAAAUGCAAAGGAUUGUUACAUUACUGCAUAAAUCCAUUGUGCACCUGUAUCGUAAAUAUGACAUGCGGGUCUGUUCCUGUAAUGUAAUGAGUGGCAUGCUGGAGGUGAGUAGAAAUGGUCGCUAUUUCUCAUAACACAAGAAGCAAGCAAUCAGAUCAGGUGGCAGAUUCAAAGGUACAUGCUGAAUAUUGCUACCUGUCUUUCCUUGGUAUUGCGUGUUGCAAUUUCGUAGCUGUCUUCUGCUCUGCAAAGUUGUCCCACCUUUUGGUCUGGAUUGCCAAUCAGAGUUAAAGUAUAAGCUUUUUAACUGCUUUGUGGAGAAAGAUGAGGUAGGAUCUGAUGUAUCUUUGAGAGAUUAAAGUUCAGAGCAUGCUUUUCACUUACCUACACGUGAAAAGUUUAGGCACUGUGGAUGAAAAGUGCUGUUACCUUGUGUUGUGAUGAAUUGUAUGAACCGAAGGUCUUCAUUUUCCUUUAGGUUUUUAAAUAAUGGUACUUAGUUCGUGGUAAGGAUUUAUCUUUAAUUGCAUACAAAAUAAUAAUUGGUGCCAUUAGCAGCACUUGGUGUUGAAAAUACAAAAUGCAUGGCCGAAGAAUGAGUUUAGUUGUUCUAGCAAGAAAAAUCUCAAAGGAUGGGGGAAGCACACGUGAGUGCAAGGGGAUGCAGCUGAGUGUGAGUGAGUACACAUGAGCAUGGGCGUGAGACAGAGCAGGAGUUGGAGCGUAUGAGCAAACGGGCACGUGGGAUGCCUGUGAGUGAAUGUAAAGAUGCAUCAGUGUAUAUUCAUACUGGUGAGCAUGCAAGUGAGCAUAAGCAUGCACAAGCCUGAGCAAGCAUGCAGGUGAAUGUGUGUAUUGAGUGUUUUUCAGGAAAUACGCAAGUGGAGGAUUUAAACCAGAAUUCAUGGCCUUUCAUUUUUGUGCUCCACAGAUGUUUGAGGAGAGGUGGCUCUCGCUCCCCCGUCCCCUGCCUGUCUGGAGUCUAUUUGUUUUUCCCCGCUACUCUUCCAUGGGGAAUGUGUUGAGGACCGAAUCUUGUGGUGAAAGGGUAGCAAGAGCAUUUCUGGUCUGGAAGCCAUUUCCCCAACCUUUCUAGACUCUCUACAGCGUAAAGCACCCUUUUGUCCACUGUUUCAUCUGGUUAUGCUGAAAUGAAAUAUGCAUGUUUGUGGACAUCUGUAGAAUAGUGCUGGCAAUAUUUACAGUUUGGGGAGUUGAAAAUAAAACACACACACACACACAAAAAAAUCUAUGUGCUCCUUGGAACAAUGAGUUGUAGACUGAACAUGUAUUUAUUUCCUCACACUGGAAGAAGGAACAGUAUUUAGCAAGAAGUAUUGUUGGUGUCCUUGUUGGACCCCAACAUUAUCUUGUUCCUGAAAACCUUGCUGAGGAAAUUUGAAUAUUACAAGAAUGAGAGGAUAUGGUUGCAAGUUCUGCUCCAUCCUGUGUUAUUUUGGACCCUGGCCAUCAGGAAACAUUUUGUCUACUUCAGAGAUGAAACACUUUCUCUUCAGUAGUAGUAUUAUGAGCAAGAUGUGUAAAUAAUAUGUGGCGAGGGGCAACUUUAUUACAGAAAGGGAAAUCAUCUCAACUUUCCUUUCUUUGAUGAACUUCUAAAAAGAGGUUUCUCCAAAAGAUGUGCUGGGGGGAAUUUGCAUGUUUUGUAUUGAUCUAUAUAAACUCUAGUUAUAAACAUAAAAGUAGCUUAAAAGUUGUUUCACUCUGCUUCUGUCACCCUUUGUACUUUAUCAACCAUUGAUCUUUAUUCUUUGUCAAUUCAUACAUGUUUAAUACUGCAUUGCAAAUAGUUUUCCUCACCUCCAAAAGUAUUCAUAAAAAUAAGGCUGGGUGAGAAUAUUUGAAAGAGCAUUGUUUGUAAUUUUCUUGCCUCUGCUGAGCUGAGUGUCUAGAAAAUGGAAAUACGGGCUUCUACCUCCUGCAGAGGAAUGGAAAUAAAUCAUAAUGCAAGCUCUUUCAAAAGAAAUUACAUAUCCUGGAGUAGGAAAACUCAUAGAUCAGUAUAACAUUUUGUUGCAUAGCUUGAGCUUUUUCAAAAGAUGGACUCUAUAUAGACAUUUGCUUUGGUAUCUAACUAGUAAUUUUACUGAAUGUCUCUAAUUUGGAUGAAAAGUUACGUGGUUGACCUGAAUGACUCAUGUCACAGGGGUAAGUGGGGGAAGGACAGUUUGAAGCAAAGUGUACAAAAAACUAUGUGGAGAAAGAAAAUCAAGAUUGCUACAUAUUCCUGCAACUACCACUCACUUUUAAGAAUAUUUUUUGCAGAAGCAGGAAUUAAAUAGUGGUAUGAAUAUAAAAGUAAUACCUUUAAAAUAAUUUUGGAAGACGAACAUGAAAUCAAUUGUGCAACUAAAUGGCCAUCACACUAUAAUUACUUAGACACUGUUUCUUCUUGCAGGCAAUUUUGAUAUGAAAUAUUUUAUGGUUGUUAGUGUUCAUACUUAUUCUGUGAAACAGGUAAAUGUUAAGCUAGGGGUUUCAUAGAUUGUGAAGCAAAGAAGUUAUUCUAUGUUUUGGAGCAACUGCCACACUGGAAAUAAAAAACAGGAGCUUUGAUUCCAAAUCUGUUGAUACAACUUAGAAGUGGAAAAACGGCCUUGUGAACCAACACCUAAGAGCUUCCUACAAUAGGUUAGCUACAUGCUGCCUGCUUUUCUGGUGGUGACACUGGAUUAAAGGUAGCCAAUAGUGCCUUUCUUUAUGGUACUUGCUGCAGUUGCUGAAAGUGUUUACAGUUGUGAAAGGUAGUGGAGGUGGAAAUGUCUGAGAGAAAGACUGACCUAUAAAAUAGAUCAGCACAACAACAGUUCUUCUUCUGAACCUUAUUUUCUUUGCUUAUGUUGUCACAUCUUCUGGUGUCACUCCCACAUCCUUAUAUACCCUCCACCAAUAAAAAUGUAACGUACAAAGUAAAAGCUUUCAUCAGUCUAUCUGAAAGCACUCUGCAAUUGUUCCUUGUUUCACAAAACCACAGUUAUCUAACGUCCAUUUUGCAGGCUGGUGAACUAAAGCCAAGACAGACUGGUCUGCCUCAACGAACUAUCUGUUUUAAGAGCGUUACCAAACUCUUUCUGUGAGCCUCAGGCUGCAGAUGUAUAAUUUCAUCGAAGAAAUGGUGCAGGUUCAGCUACCUAAUUACAAGGUGACUGGAAAGCCUGUCUUGCAGCAAAUCCUUUUCAUCUGUCCUUGUCUGGCAUGUCUGAGCCUCUCCCCAAAACUUCUUGUGCAAAGGGACAUAGGGAGCCCCUGCAAAUCCUCCUGAAGAGUUAUUCUUCCCCAACCUACCCAACAAAUCACACAGUCUUUGUGUUGAGUGGAAUUGCUAUACUCGCAGAGAUGGAAACAAAUAUUGCUUCCCAUGCCAUUUUUAAAUUAAUACUAUUUUCUGAGGUUUCAAGGAACUUUACCAACUGACGUGACUACACAAAACUCUUUUUAGAUACUCAGAUGCAAUCUUAAGGCUUUAUCAUCUAGUCAAGGUAAAACUCCCUUCACAUUAAUGACUGCAGAUGUAGCGUCCCUCACAGGACUCAAAUUUUGGGCAAGAAUUGAUGUCUUGCAUCAAAAUACUCUGACUUCUGUACCACUAAGGAUUAGUAGUAGACUGCAAUCAAGUUAUUUAAUCGUUUAAGGGUUUUCAAAGCCAGUAAAAAUAUCAGCAUCAGAUUUUUUUUAAAUACUCAUUUACAACAACAGCCCAAAAUAUUCAUUCCCAGUGCUUAAUGAUCAGAGAGGGACAUGGGAGUUUAAGCAUGGGUUUAAAAUAAAAAAAAAAAGCUUUCAAUAAAAGCUCUAACUCUGUCAUCACAUCUGUCUGCCUUUUGCCAUUAGACAAGCAGUGUAUAUAUAUCUUUGAAGUCCUUUAUUUGCAAAGGUGCUAGUCAUGCUGUAUUAGUACUUUCUAAUCUCCAUGUAUGCACUUAGUUGAGAGCAUAAUACAUUUGUGUUUGACUGAUGAACUAAUGGUUUCUAAUGAGUUGCAGGGUCUUCAGUGUUGUAGAAGUCUGUUUUGACCCUAAAUGACUUGGGUUAGGUCGCUAAAAUGCUAAGUGGUGAAAUAACCUAGCAUGCUUGUGUGAGCUUCCUUAACCUAUAUGCUUACUUAAGAAGGGGGAAAAAAGGAAAAAAAAUACAGCAGUGGAAAAAUGUUAUUGGUGAUUACGCUCCAAAAGGUUGGUGAAUUUUCUGAAUUGCAAUAUCUGAAAGGAGAUUAAAAAUUUUUGAGUAUUUUUGAAGUAAUUUAGGGUUAAAAGGGACUUUCUGGAAACAAUCUAAUAGUUAUGGAAGAGCCUGUGGGAAGCUGAAUACCUGAGUUCUGGUCUUAACCACGUCGCACCAUGUGGCCUGGUUUUCAGAGACUGACUAUACUCUAGGGUUUGCUGCAAAUCCCCUUUAUUGAGGGGUCACAUGGAAUCUUAACAAAUUACAUUAUGAUAUACAGUCAUGGAAACAGAUAGUUUCAGCUUUUUGCUCUGGUUCGUUCAUUCGUUCUUUCUUUGUCUGAAUGCAACAUAAUAAUAGCUUUUGAGACUGCACAUAACAGAUUGUAAACUUCUGGGGAAUGUUUUAGUGAUCUGUGAGAUCAACCCUGUUAAUUUUGGUGCAAAUAGAAAAUGAGUAAAGCUUAAUUUCCACUACAAUCAGCUUAAAGAAGGAUUCUUUAAAUGCUUUCAGUGUAAGCCCUCUACAGCUGUCAGGCUCUCUGUCCUUUUCCUUAGAAAACUGUGUGGUGACUGCAAAGUUCAUGAAACUGUGAUGUGAGAAAAACUAAGCACGUAGAAGUGGUAUAAUUGAGAACAGGAUUUUUAGCCUGGCUAUUCCAAACUGUAGGAUUUGUGAUAGCAAUAAUUUUAGGAAAAAGAGAAAAAAAAAAAAAUCUGUUUCAAAUCCAUGGCUUACACCUUUAGUGAAAGCUGUAUGCAUACUUGAAGGUAUUCAGGGAAUUAUCUAAAAGGCUGGGAAUGUUUCUUGUAUUUGCAGGGUUGAAAAAAGUCCACUUCUGUCUGUCUUUAGAACAAGCUAUUAAAGUCUCUACCAAAGAGAGAGAUCAGAGAUGAUCAGUACUGCAUGUUCUCUGCUGCUUUAGGAAAAGGUAGUAGCCAGGAACUACAUUUAUAAUACUUCACUGCAUUGUAGGGCCAUUUUAUAAGACUAGCAUUUUAAUCUUUAUUCAGGUUUUAAAUCUCAUAAAGACUACCUGCUUUUAGAAAAAUUCUAGCUUUUCAACUUAAGCCUUACGGAUUUUCAAAGGUUUUUAAUAUUAGAUAGGAGAUGGGCAUUUUACUUCAUAAUCUAAUGACCAGGUUAGAGUUGGACUUGUUUUUAAUAAUGUGAGACUAAGAAGGACAGGAUGCCCUUGCUAACAGAGUAUGAACAAAUAGCUGGAGGGCCUAGCUUUUCAUUAGUUUGGUAUUUUAAUAUAUAGUCUCUCACAGGUCAAAGAUUCAGCCAGGUACCUCUGGGGGAUGCCAAAACAUUGCAGGUGGAUUCAUCCAUCAGUUUUUGUGGGAUGAAGCAAAGAUAAUUUUGUUGUUUUUAGGCUAUGCUUUCAGUGAAACCAGAGCAAAACUUCCAUGGAUUUAAAUACAAAGUCAUGCUUUUCAAUACAAGAUCAUGUUUAAUGCUACUGUGAUGUGAUUCCUGAUUUGGAUGAUGAAUUUCUGCUCUUCCAAAAGACUAUGCAGUAGUAUAUUUCUCAAGUAAAGGACCAUUACUAUUUAAAACUUAGUAUUACAUUUAUAUUUGGAAAACAAGUAAUUUUCUUAACAUUGAUACUGUGUUUGCAAAUGCUUCAAUACUGCCUGAGCUCUGCUCUUAAUUAGGAUGAGUGCUGUAUUUCUCCAUGGCCUGAUGUCACUGCUUCAUUGCAGAAGGAUGACUGCGAAUCCCGAGAAGGUUUGCUGACAGGUGAUUUCUCUGACACCUUGGAAGAUGAGAAGUGACGUUCCCAGUGUGUUCUACACACCCACACUUGGAUGCAUAAGCUCGAUCCUGACAGGGUUCCUGAUGUAUGUGGUAGAAUUAUUCUGAUGGAUGAGGAAUAUCUACAAAGACAGGGUUCGUAAUGAUGCCAGAACUGUGCGGUAUGCUGAUUAGCUGUCCUCCUUGAAGUUUCUCAGUGAGCAGUGCAUACAUGAGCAUACACUACUUUUUUUCUCCCACGCACACAAGUGCUGCGUCAAGUUAAGUGACUUGUGACACGUAUUAAUGCUGUUGGCUUCUUUCUGCUGGGGGCUGACCACUGCAAUCCUGUUUGAAAAGUUUUCCACCAAACUCGUACAUCAUUUUCAUUAAAACAGUAUCCGGUUUUGUCCCUCAAGCAUGAAUGUCUUUCUGCUUGUGAAUGUAAACGGCAAAGGCAAGCAAUAAAUCCCUUUGAAUAAUGUGCCAGUAUCUACUCUUACAUAACUGUCAUUCCUAAGCAGAAGAUGCUUAUUUACCAAUUAAAGCAUCUUGGCAAGGAUUUCAGGCAUUUUAAAUUAAUUCUGCUGCUUCCAGAACAUCCAUUAGAUAAAAUCUGAUGAAUUUGAAUCAUUGACCCUUAACCUGAAAACCAGUUUUACAAAUGUCCUCCAGGAAACACAUUGUGCGCUUAACUUCCCCUAUGAAAACUACAAAAAAUUGUAUACCAAAAUACAAGGAUUAAGGGCUAGAGCCAUGACAGAGUUAGACUUGGACAGGGAUAUGAGAACUGUCUCACUGAAGGUACUUGAUAAUUUUUUUCAGCAAUAUACACUGUGUGACUGCAAAUAAAUGCAUGACAUAAGGAAUUGUUCAAAUUUUUUUUUAAUAGUAGAGUAUUUCCAUUGACUUGCAGUGCUUAAAGAACCGGGAGGUUGUGUUACUGAUUAACAUAGGGUUACUACAUGAAGCUUCAUGCAAUUAGCUCGUACCAGAAAGGAAAUGCCAGAUUUUGUCAGUGAGAGCUUGAAUCUUUCUUGGAGCUGCAGGAAUUUGGGCAGCUGGGAGAAGACCCUGUAGCCUCUUUCUUAGCAGCCUGCCAAAGAGAUCACUGUGGAAGUCUCUUGCUCUAGAAUUCCUACUAGUAGUGCUGGUUUGGUUUGGUUAUUUUAUUUUAAUUCUUCAAUAUGGGAUAAUUCAAGUGAAUAGUCAGUAUGAAGUUUUAUUAUCUUCUACCUUUGGGUGUCUGAUUAAGCAUGACUUGCUGUGAUUGGGAUUUUAAAUACCAGAAGUCUUCCCAAUUACCUCAAUUACCUUUACCCAAGGAAUGAUUGCUAUUUCCAGGUAUGCAUCCUGUUGCCCACAGUUUCUCCCUCAGGUUUUUCUGGCAUCAUUCUUACAUUAAUAGCCCUUACCAAAGCAUACUGUAGACUAACAACUAUCCCACGGUACCUCCUGAGUAUUUUGCAGCAGUGACACAGUUUCUGCAUGUGUUUUCUAACUCUUCUACUCCAUUUUAAGAAUGUUCAGAAGCUUCAUUUCAUUUAAAGCCUUCAAAUGAUAGAAAUUGUGCAUAUCACUUAGAGUGCAUCCUAUCCAAAAAACAUUUCUUAUUUCUUCUCUGGUUAUAUAAACCAUCUGUAAAAGGAGGUUAUAUGAAAAAAUAGAUUAAAAGUUAUUACAAAGUAUUUACAGUAAAACAAGUAGUAAAAUGUGUUAAAUUGUUUCUGUUCUUCAGUUCCCUGUUCUAGUAGCUCUUCUGGGCAUAAUUUAUUUUUGAAAAAAAAAGGGGGGGGGGUAAAUAUGAAAAAUCACUGAAGAAUUUCAAAUAUAUGCCCUGUCAUGCCAUUUUGUAGAGAAUGUUGCCUAAACUGUGUGGAACAUAUCUAAGUUUCUGUGCCAAGAUCUGUAGUAGUAGUGUGCCUAAAUUCCCAUUUACUGAAACAGGACCUGGGUCCUAAGAAAUUAACUCAAGAGAACGUUUUACUUGCACUUGAAACUAUUGGCAGUAUUUUUAGAUUGCAGAGCAGAAUUUUCUUCUUAUGUUUGAGCCUUAAAUAUGUAACUUGUGUAUAUAGUCAGCUGAAAUUACUUUAUAGAUUUUUUGAGAGCCAUAUGCAGACCUUACACAUGUGAAAAACACAUGCAAGCUGUUGCAUAACAGUGAAACAAUAAAAACAUAACCAGGGCCUAUUUUCCUCUUUCAUUCAUUACUAUAUCCCCUUUCUCCCUGAAAGAAAUCCACAAUAAAAUAUUAAUAGCAACAUACUGUUGAAUAAACAUCUGCAGAUGUAAGCAAUAGCCAUUUAAGCUUGAAUAAACACUCAGAACAAGAAAAGUGAGUAUUAAUAAUUAAGUUCAAAAUUACUGAGAAAAGGCAUUGUGAGACUAAUCUGGGAAAUUAUACUUAGUUUUCAGAAGGUAUAUUUUUGAGGAAGUAGUAAAAUCUUUUGCUUUCUUUAGGAGUAGAAGAGAACCUGUCUCCCUCUGCUGGUUUUCAGAGAAAAAAAAAGUUUAUAGAGACUGAAAAAUCGUAGCUGAAAUUUUGAUACAAAUUACCAGACGUUCCAGAAUUAGGGCUUAAAACUUGUUGCCUUUAAAUACAUCAGAGUCACCCUGAGGACAUUAGAACUACCUGUCUUGAUUAGCUGAGGAUUGGUAGAUUUUUGAGUAUUUACUCUGUUUAAGCUGAUACUUUCUCAGUAUAUUUUACAUGAUUUCUUUAUAUGUACAUCUUUAAGAAAGCAUAACAAGAUAAAUUUAAACUAUUUAGCCUUUAAUUCAAACAUUCACUGAAUCUUGUAGCUAUCCUGAAGAGCAGUGUGAUAUUGGAGUUGUAAAUGUAGAUGCAUAAUUUUCCUUUCUUGCGUAGUCUGAGUUAGUGUACUUUAUAAUUCAAAUUAAGCCUUUUUCUUUCAAAUAUGAGUUUCUAAACUGCUCCAUAAAUACAAGUCACAGGCCAUAAGGCUUUUGAAGGCCACACGCACAAGAAGAGCUACAGCACUGAGCAUAGCUUGCCGGUAAUGACAACUGCAUGAGGUUUCUUUGAAUUGUUGCUGGGACUACGAUGUUGAGGCUGGCUGGUCCGGGGUGGGUGCUCGCACCUGGCCAAAAUGCAGCAUUGCCCACCCUGCCGAGCCGGGAGCCCCGCAGUGCCGUUCCCCCAGACCACGAGGCAGUGAGACGCCCGCACGUGGUCUGUGCCAGCGAGAGCGUAUCAGCAGGAGGGGGGGGGAACUUUGUGUUGCUGUCCCCACCCCAAUGAACAAAUGUUUGGGAAUUUCCGUGGAACAGACGUGCUGCACGAAGUCAGUACCAUGUUCUGGUACACAUCACGGUAUCUGCAAAGAGGUUUUUGUCCUUUACGAUAUGUUCCAUCUUCCUAUUGUCAGAGGAAACACAUUUGUCCUUUAAUAAUCCCUGUGCUUCUACUAAGAAUUUCCCAUUCACAAAAAGGACACUCUAACAAUAGACAUCAAGUUUAUUCCUUCCAAUUAGUUAAAGGCAAGUAGCAAUUCCAGUAGUUAAAUUAAGGCAUUAAUCUGUCAAACUUGGAGGGCUUACAUAAAUGCAUUUUAGGGUGAGAAGAAAAUUCAGGCAAUUUUGUUUUUAAAGUGGUUUUUUUGUUGUUGUCGGUUUUUGUUUUUUGGUUUUUUUUACUUCCCACAUCUUAUCUUCACCAAAACACGUUUGUUAUGCUUUGUUACAUGUAGCCGUCCUUUUGAUCUGGGUAUACGCCAAGCUUCCUUGUAUCCUAAGUAUUGUUUUAAAAGGCAUCGGCCAACUGCAGUUUCUCAUAUUUCCAGUUAAUACCAGUGUCAGGAUAGUUAGUUACACAAGUUGAUUUGAUUUUUGCAUAUAUUGUGUUGGAAUUCUUUUGUGAAGUUUGAGUAU
Haliaeetus leucocephalus (bald eagle) is the source of this 12892-nucleotide long non-coding RNA. RefSeq lists it as uncharacterized. The transcript is spliced from 3 exons. The record is from RefSeq and is a predicted model, not a curated record. NCBI's taxonomy places the organism in Eukaryota, Metazoa, Chordata, Aves, Accipitriformes, Accipitridae.